GCUUAAAGCGCGUGCAGGCGGGGUGGCAGGUGUCUUGUGAAAGCCCUCGGCUCAACCGAGGAAUUGCUUGGCAAACCGCCUCCCUUGAGGCAGGUAGAGGCAACUGGAACGUUCGGUGGAGAGGUGAAAUUCGUAGAUAUCGAACGGAACGCCGGUGGCGAAAGCGGGUUGCUGGGCCUGUCCUGACGCUGAGACGCGAAAGUGUAGGGAGCGAACGGGAUUAGAUACCCCGGUAGUCUACGCCGUAAACGAUGCGCACUGGAUACGAGAACCUCUGACGGUCUUCGUGUCGCAGCAAAAGUGUUAAGUGCGCCGCCUGGGGAGUACGGCCGCAAGGCUAAAACUCAAAGGAAUUGACGGGGGCUCACACAAGCGGUGGAGCAUGUGGAUUAAUUCGAAGCAACGCGAAGAACCUUACCUGGGUUUGACAUGCACGGAUGCCCUCCUGGAAACAGGAGUAAGCUGCCUUCGGGUGAAACGUGCACAGGUGCUGCAUGGCUGUCGUCAGCUCGUGCUGUGAAGUGUCGGGUUAAGUCCCUUAACGAGCGAAACCCUUGUCGCUAGUUGCCAGCGGGCCCUUCGGGGUGCCGGGAACCCUAGCGAGACUGCCGGCGUGAAGCCGGAGGAAGGUGGGGACGACGUCAAGUCCUCAUGGCCCUUAUGCCCAGGGUGUCACACGUGCUACAAUGGCCGGUACAAAGGGCUGCGAUCCCGCGAGGGGGAGCGAAUCCCAUAAAGCCGGUCCAAGUUCGGAUUGCAGUCUGCAACCCGACUGCAUGAAGGCGGAAUCGCUAGUAAUCGUG
Molecule: ribosomal RNA, 803 nt
Filed under: uncultured Planctomycetota bacterium
Lineage: Bacteria; Pseudomonadati; Planctomycetota
Description: bacterial SSU rRNA
Rfam family: Bacterial small subunit ribosomal RNA
Source: RNAcentral